RNAcentral lists this transfer RNA (32 nucleotides) under Netta rufina (red-crested pochard). RNAcentral describes it as "partial tRNA-Lys". The record is from RNAcentral. Lineage: Eukaryota; Metazoa; Chordata; Aves; Anseriformes; Anatidae.
CUAGCUAAAGAGGACCAUCUCCUCCUUAAUGA